AGCCUGCAUUCGAGGCAGGCCUUCUGUUAAAGAAUUUGAUAUAAAGCCCGCGCUAACAGUAAUCCUCCUGCCCCCGAUACCACAGCUGUGGAUAGUGUGGAAUGCAAGUAAUAAUACAAUCCAAUGUGUGUCUCAAUUGUCCC
Long non-coding RNA from Alosa sapidissima (American shad), 143 nucleotides. RefSeq lists it as uncharacterized. Lineage: Eukaryota; Metazoa; Chordata; Actinopteri; Clupeiformes; Clupeidae. The transcript has 3 exons. The record is from RefSeq and is a predicted model, not a curated record.